This is a long non-coding RNA of Anas platyrhynchos (mallard), 888 nucleotides long. RefSeq lists it as uncharacterized. Lineage: Eukaryota; Metazoa; Chordata; Aves; Anseriformes; Anatidae. The record is from RefSeq and is a predicted model, not a curated record.
GCAGUGUGAAGGUGGGCAGUGCUCCCCAGGCUGCAGCAUGCAGCGCCCCACCUCCCUCCUGAACUUCUCACCCUUCUGCCUAUACCCAGCUCCACUCAGGAGCUGUCAUGUACGAGAGGUACAGUAGUAUCCAUGAUCACAAAGAAAAUUCACAUCAUGGUCUGUUAGUCUGAGGUACAAACCCAGAAGAAGGAGCUAGGCUAAAACUCAGCCAUAUAAUUUUGUUGAGGAAAUAAGAAGCUAACUGUUAUGGAAUGACAAGCAUUAGCUGGACAUAUUCCUACAGUUCUCCCUUUCCAAAGCAGGCAAUAUAAAAUUUCACUAAACUUUCUGUGAAACAGCAGCAUUUUCGUAACUGCACUCAUCUGCCAAAAGAAAUGUCAUUUCCAGGCAUCUAUAAAUAACUAAAUCUUAUCAUCACCCCGACACUUAGCAGCUGGAACAACACAGCCAGAUGUUGGCAUCCCAAGGCAAGCAGGACUCGGUUUGGAAAUGGCUGGGGUAAGCUUAAGGUUACGGAGGAGGGCCAUGGAGAAAAGGGACAGCUGUUUGUUCAGCUGUCUCUCCUUCAGUUCAGUGAGAUGAGUGCUUUAACUACGCAUACACUAAAAAUCCCGUGAAAAAAGGUAUAUGAUCAUAUCUAGGAACACAGAAUCUGGUAUUUGCUAGCACUGAAUUUCACCAGUCUAUGCCUCCUGAUAAGAAACAAGAACUCUUCCUUGAAAACAUCUCUGCCCAGAAAAUGUAAAAAAGGAAGGAGCAUUCUUUACCACAUGUGAAAAACCUCAAGAGAACUACAUAGUGAACUCAGGAGUGACUGCGCCGAGCUUUUGGAUGCUCUGUUGCUUCACCACAGCCCCAGUGCUGCAGGUCAGCUCCCAGUAUACC